RNAcentral lists this long non-coding RNA (3226 nucleotides) under Pomacea canaliculata. RNAcentral's name for it is "uncharacterized LOC112560316". Lineage: Eukaryota; Metazoa; Mollusca; Gastropoda; Architaenioglossa; Ampullariidae. The record is from RNAcentral.
UGUAAAAGUCAAGGUGUGGAAAGUACCCGUAAAAAACUGAGAGCAUCAAACAAUAUUUGUGAUGUUUCUCUUUGUGUUUUAAUCACAUCAGUUACUGGAGUUACAACAGAGAGAGAAACAUCAGGAGAACUGACAUUGUGAAUGUUCACUAGUUACUGGAGUGAAUGUUCACUAGUUACAACACAGAGAGAGAAACAUCAGGAGAACUGACUGUGAAUGUUCACUCUCACAUUUUCGUGGUGUUUGUGUAUUCAGCUUGUUGACAACAAAGUGCUGGCUGCUAACCUGUCUUUGUAAACAGUUUGACAAGACCCACCUGUCCACUUCUGUCUACACGGCCAGACAACAUCGUAAACAGGUCGUCAACAAACAACAAAUGGCAACAAACAGUCGCCUCUCUAUAUAACUAUGCGAACUUGAGGUCAGAAGCCAACGUCUGUCUGUGCCAGUCGGUCAACGCAUUCCACUGGCUUUGUUUCUUGAGCUUUGGGCGAGGAUGGAGGUCAAGAAUGUUAGGCUUAGUCUCCAGCACCAGACCUGCUUCUCUCUCCCUGUCACCAUACCCCAGCCCUGUGGACACGCUCAUAGCACGUCACCAAAAUGGCGCAGAAGAAAGUGCGCGCGCACACGCCUACCUACCUAUACAGGACUGAUGGAAGUUGAUUCAAUCAAACCUACACACGGACACACAGAGCAUGGCAGCACACAGUGUGUGGAAUGUCGAAGUUGCUGCCAGCCUGCUCCAUCAUGUCCGGCUGUCUACAAGGCUGAGUGCUCCUCUCCACAACACUACCGAGGACCUGACACAGUCGUCUGGUCUGUAGGUUCAAUCCUCCGUCGACUGGAGGCUGUACAUGGCAACGACGCAGAGAAGAUGGAGCCGACUGCCUGCACUGUGUGACCUCAGCCGUUAUGGUCAGAGAGAGGCCGGAAGUGGACACUGUCAGUGUGGAGUUCACUGUCCCUAUGACGCUUGCUGUCACUACCCACAGCAUUAUUUACUUUAUCAAUUCACAAAUCUGUCAGUAACGACCAAAUUAAAAGUAAUUAACACAAUUAACAAAUAAACACAUUUCGAGCUGAGCAAACAUGCAAAAGACCAAUGGUUUGUUUGGCAGAGCGCGGCCUCCACGAAAGACAACUCCAUCAACUCCAUCAGACACAAGAGGGAGCCACUCGAUCAGACGACGAUUAGAACAAAACAACAAUGAUGAGGGCAAUGACGAUGUCAAAGGUUAUACAUGCCAAAGGACAAUGGUGUUUGUAUGAGUGGGGAAAGUGUUAGAAGGACUCCAGAAAAGUCGACUGUGGCGCCACACACAGCAACCAUAACCCUCCGAGUCACUGUCAUCGCUGUUGACAAGAUUCCUGUCACAAUAUUCCCCGAUAGUCAGAUAUAGUCGCUGUCAAGUAUAGUGUGCUGUCUACCUGGCUGAUGACAAUCACAGUGUGCUGUCUACCUGGCUGAUGACAAUCACAGUGUGCUGUCUACCUGGCUGAUAACAUAGUGUGCUGCCUACCUGGCUGAUGACAAUCACAGUGUGCUGUCUACCUGGCUGAUAACAUAGUGUGCUGUCUACCUGGCUGAUAACAUAGUGUGCUGUCUACCUGGCUGAUAACAUAGUGUGCUGUCUACCUGGCUGAUGACAAUCACAGUGUGCUGUCUACCUGGCUGAUGACAAUCACAGUGUGCUGCCUACCUGGCUGAUGACAUCACAGUGUGCUGCCUACCUGGCUGAUGACAAUCACAGUGUGCUGUCUACCUGGCUGAUGACAAUCACAGUGUGCUGCCUACCUGGCUGAUGACAAUCACAGUGUGCUGUCUACCUGGCUGAUGACAAUCACAGUGUGCUGCCUACCUGGCUGAUGACAAUCACAGUGUGCUGUCUACCUGGCUGAUGACAAUCACUGUGUGCUGCCUACCUGGCUGAUGACAAUCACUGUGUGCUGUCUACCUGGCUGAUGACAAUCACACUGUGCUGUCUACCUGGCUGAUGACAAUCACACUGUGCUGUCUACCUGGCUGAUGACAAUCACAGUGUGCUGCUUGUGGAAGUCUACCUGCUUUGUUGUGAUGAAAGGUGCGCUGCGCACGUGAGUAAAGCUCAAGCUCCUGUCCUUCCUAAGAUUUCCAGAGAUUGCCUGCAGGAAUGCGUGAGUAAGCACGGCUCACUGUGUCAAACAACAGUGGAGAAUGUCGGGUGGCACUGUAGCAACAGUCGAUAACGGUCUUGCAAGACCGACAUCGCCGCCAACAUCGAUAAGAUUGUUCACAAAGAGACUUGGCCCCAGACCAGCACACUACCCGGCAACAACCACCCUGCCGCCGCCAAACGCCCGAUCGAUGUCUACCCGACUGAAGUUGCCGGGUGAAGAUGAAGCUCACGACAGUUGGACUCAAUACACCCGUCGUCUGUCUCCUUGCACACAGCCCAACAGUUCACACCAAUCAUAUCAUUACCCACUGUGUUUCAUCAUCAAUGACAUCAUCAACCACAUCGUCAUUCUCAUCAGUCUCAGUAUUACUCAUACCCUCACGCGAGGUCACACGUCGGACUCGUGCCUGAAGCAAGCACAGUGCAGUCUGAGGGUGAACACAGCUCGUGACACCUGCCUCACUACGAACUACAAACAAACUACAAACAAACUACAAAGUAUAGCCGUCCAUCUUGCUGGACAAGCCACUGCGACAGACGGGUGCAGCUUCAGCGAGCAGGUCACCUGAGCGCCGGACGCUGAGUGUGCAGUCGGUCAUUCCCAGAAACUCCUAGACACGCUUGAGUGCACAUGAGUCUGCUUUGAGUGCACAUGAAUUACCCGCGGAUGAGGCUUCUGCGGCGAAACAGGCGUCAAGGGACUGAACGCGGCCAGGGAGGCAGAGAACUCCGCCGGUCUCCUCCAUUAGCAAAUAUCACGUGACAGCGCUUGCGCCUCGGCCAUCGGCUUCUAACGACACCGACUCGCGGAAAAUGGGACAACGAAGCAAAAAAUGUUUUUUUUUAAUUCAAAAGAAAAAGAUGCUACAAAGAAACAAAAAGAAUUAAAACAGAAUGAAAAAUGUAUGAAAUCCAAAUGGAUAUCAUGAAAGUAUUGUAAAGAAGCAUAAAGAGUAUUGAUUUCUAUCCAUUAUUUUACUUUUAUAUUCCAGAGUCGUCAGCAACAUGAAUCAUCUUUAUUCGAUGAGAGCGACCAUAUCUCUGGUGAGAAUGAAAUAAAAUAUAAUUUG